ACUUAUAGCCGAUUGAAGCGAUCGAUCUUCCCCCAAUCAAUAACAGCUUCUAAUGGAGGUGUACGUGCCACGUAAUUAAAGACCACGUAUUAGCAACCGUAUCAUGACCACACUGUAGAGGGACAAAAAUUUUUGUCACCCCCCCCCCCCCCCCUCUCUCCUCAUUUUCUCUCUCUAUUUUUUGUGUUUCCUCCGUUUGCAGGGUUAGGGCCGGGGAGAGAACACCUUCGCUCUCCUUUUCUGUAUCCAAUUCUCUCUAAUCCGUGUACAAAACCAUGGUCUGUGAGAAAGUAUCAAUGCAGUCAAACCUUGAUUGUUUCCUCCAUUGCACAACCCUCGUUGUCGCAUCCCAAUCGCUUCCCUUCCCAAGAUACGAAGACGUCGAUGAACAAGGAGGACAACGGAUGAUGGUGUGUGGCGGUCUGGAGGGCAACAAUGCAUUGAAUCUGGAUGGUGUUUAUGAGACUGAUGGUCUGAAGAGAUCUCUUGGUCCGGAAGUGCAAUGGUCUGUAGGGGUGCCCUAGUUUAGAGCUCCUGUGUGGGUAUGAAGGUCGAAAGGCUUGUGGAGGUGUGGGUAGAGUGGAUGAGCGAGCUGUUUGUUUUCAGAAGAAAAUAGAUCACACGAGUUUCUUUAGUUUUGAUUUUACUAUCAUGUGAUGCCGCUUAUGUGACUUCUAUAUGGAUUGCUGAUGUGUUAUUAGUUUAUUUAUGACCGUUAAAUGCAUGAGAGCGAAGCUUCCGUUCCAAAGAGUAUGUGAUAUGUGUAUAUAUAUUGAUAGUCAACUUGUAAAGACAAGGAGGAUAGACGGUGGUAAAUUCUAGCUA
Long non-coding RNA from Carya illinoinensis, 825 nucleotides. RefSeq lists it as uncharacterized. Lineage: Eukaryota; Viridiplantae; Streptophyta; Magnoliopsida; Fagales; Juglandaceae. The transcript has 2 exons. The record is from RefSeq and is a predicted model, not a curated record.